ACUCCCCUGAGCCUGGAUCCUGUCUCCCAGGAGCUGGAUUAAAGCCUGGUUGUCCCAAAGUUAUCUCCUGCUGGGCCAGUGGUGUCAAAGGAGGAGGAUCCACACCCUCAAGAGCUCCUCCAGUGUUCCCUUGCCCUCCCUGCUGGGAAAUUGCACUGAAUUUUGAGACUUACCUGACUUGAACUUCCAGGCAUUGCAUCUCAUCAUGUAGCUGUCAAAAUCCUUGGAAGUGCCCUGGGACCCAGGAUGUUUCCAUGCUGGAGGUGUCUGGACAUCUUGGGAUCUCUUAAGCACCUCUUCAACAAACUGAACAAGCUGAGCUGAGUGAGGAGUUUUUCCAACUGUGUUUCUGGAAUCCUUUGGAAUGCUCCCUGGAGCGUCCCCUCCCUGUGUGGACACCACAGAUCUCCUGGAAAAGCUCUGAAAAUGCAGAGCUAUGGUGAGCUCUGCACAGGGGCUCUCUGAGCCUCUGUGUGAAAUGUUGGAGGGGUUUGGGUUUCUUUACAUGGAGUCAUGUAAAUGUGGGUAAAAGAAGGAGAAAAAUGGAAGGUAAGAGAGGGAGCAAAUGCAAAGGGUCAGGGAAAAACCAGUUCUUGUCUCUGCUUGGCUGAAUGUUCACUUACUCCGGCGUCUUUAGUCUUGUAGCAGUGGUGCUUUCUGAAGUCAUUUCUCACAUCAUAAGUAGCUGCAAUUUGCAUUCCUGCUUCCCAGAGGUGAUAUCUUGCAUUUGGUUGCAUCAGACUUCAUUUUCCCACAGUGCUGUACCCAGGCCCUGCAGAUCAGGGUGAGCAGCUUGUGGUCAGGGGAGCACAUGUGGCUGAGCAGAGUACCCCAUGUGCUCUGUUACCCUGUCCAACCACGGAGGGAUGAUUAUCCUCCUGAAUCCGUGCUUGGGCACGUGGAUCAGGGGGCCCUCGACUGGGGUAGACCCUGUUGACACCUGAUAGGAUGGGGUGAGAAAAAUGUAUUUAGUGGCUCUAUAAGGGGCCAUGAAUCCUGCCCCUGGUAUCUGAUCUCAUUUAACCUCCAGUGCAACCCUCCCUGUUCUCAUCGUUACUUACUGUGUGACCCCUCUUUCUGCUGUCUAUAAAUGUUCCCAGCAAAGAGAAUCACUCCAGCAAAUGGUGGAUAAAAUGCUGAAUGAUGUGGCCAGAGAGCAGAGCAUUGGAAUUGAUCUAAACUGCCUGGAUGUCCCUGCUGAUCCUGGAGCAAAAGCUUUUUGUGGAUGUUUUCAGGCUAAGAGAGGCCAUAAAGUUUUCAGGGUAUCCCAGGUAGUGGCAGAGUGAUUCAAUCAGUCUCUCUUAUCAGAUUCUCACUUAUCUUUCCCUUCCCUUCUCCAGCAGGGUAGGAAAUGCCUUCUCUGAAAGGCUGGACAGGCACUGCUGGGGUGGAGAGCUGCAGCCUUUAAUAGAGUAAGCAGAUACCAGACUAUGAGGAUUCUUCUCCAUGGAGGAUUUCCAAGACACCAGCCUCUGAAAUUCUCCUGGCUGCUGCUCCUCUUGGAGAGGAGUCAGUCCCUUGUCACUGGAGAGACAUCUGCCAACCUGAGCACACAGAGGGAGGCUGAGGCAUUUGUGUCCUGGGGACCCUCCAGUGCUGCCCUGCAUAUCCUCUGGCACGGAACACAUGGCCCAUGGCCUGGGAACCUCUGAGCACUCUCUGAAGGAGGUUGGACUUGGUGACUUCGGUGUCCUGUGCUAAUCCAGGAUCCUCCUGCUCCCACUAGAGCACCAGCAGCAGCAUUGCAGUGA
Molecule: long non-coding RNA, 1751 nt
Organism: Empidonax traillii (willow flycatcher)
Lineage: Eukaryota; Metazoa; Chordata; Aves; Passeriformes; Tyrannidae
Exons: 3
Source: RefSeq, a predicted model, not a curated record